This 443-nucleotide long non-coding RNA is filed under the name Chrysolophus pictus (golden pheasant). RNAcentral's name for it is "lncRNA (ENSCPIG00010009499.1)". Lineage: Eukaryota; Metazoa; Chordata; Aves; Galliformes; Phasianidae. The record is from RNAcentral.
UGAGAAAUAGUUAUACGUAAUAUCUUUUGCAGAUGACUUUUUGAAAAGAAAUCUAUGGACAAAGAAGCUGUUUUUCAACCUUUGCUGACAACUAAAGAGCAAUGAAUGUAACUCCCAGAUGUUUACCUUACCUAUUGGAAGAGAGAGCAAGGGGGAUUACGUAGCAGUUGAUGACAGCGGUUGUUUUUGCAUGUUCUGGAAGCAAAGUGUGGAGAGGAGGAGGAAAGCAGGCACGCCUCAUGCAAGAAGCUCUGAGUCACAAUUAAAAGUUAUACUGCAAUUUUAUCAUAUUUGCCUUUUAUGGUGCCUGACAUUAUGUCCCCGAUAAAAUCACGUGAAUAUAAUACUGACAUUUCUUCCCCCUUGAAUUAUAUCUCUCUUUUUUUUUUUUUUUUUUCUGGCAGAAGCGCUAUAUACUUAAACUGCAUCUGACUGUUAACCCU